AGAGUUUGAUCAUGGCUCAGGAUUAACGCUGGCGGCAUGCCUAAUACAUGCAAGUCGAACGAAGAUACUUCGGUAUCUUAGUGGCGAACGGGUGAGUAACACGUAGGUAACCUACCUAAUAGAAUGGGAUAACACGGAGAAAUUCGUGCUAAUACCGUAUGUGGAGCGGAAGCGGCAUCGCUUCUUCUCUAAAGUUCCUU
RNAcentral lists this ribosomal RNA (200 nucleotides) under uncultured bacterium. Its description in RNAcentral is "partial 16S ribosomal RNA". It matches the Rfam family "Bacterial small subunit ribosomal RNA", at positions 8 to 212 of the family's 1533-position model. The record is from RNAcentral.